Molecule: transfer RNA, 65 nt
Filed under: Crepidodera pluta
Lineage: Eukaryota; Metazoa; Arthropoda; Insecta; Coleoptera; Chrysomelidae
Description: tRNA-Ile
Source: RNAcentral
UAUAAGGUGCCUGAUAAAAGGUUAAUUUUGAUAGAAUUAGAUAUGUGGAUUUUUCACCCUUAUAA